CAAAAACAUGUCUUUUUGAUUUUAAUUUAAAGUCUAAUCUGCCCACUGAAAUAAUUUUAAAUGGCCGCGGUAUUUUGACCGUGCAAAGGUAGCAUAAUCAUUAGUUUUUUAAUUGAAAGCUUGUAUGAAUGAUUGAAUAAGAUAUUUAUUGUCUCAUAAUUAUUUUAAUUAAAAUUUAAUUUUUAAAUUAAAAAGUUUAAAUUUUAUUAUAGGACGAGAAGACCCUAUAGAUUUUUAUAAUUAAAUUUAUAGUUUUAAUUUAAUUUAUUAAUUAAUUAAAUUUUUAAUUAUUUUGUUGGGGUGACAUUAAAAUUAAAUUAACUUUUAAUUUAAUUGAACAUUAAUUUAUGAAAUUUUAAUAUAUAAAUUAUUUAUAUUAUUUUAUUAUUAUAAUUGAUCCUUAAUUUUAGAUUGUUAAAUUAAAAUACCUUA
RNAcentral lists this ribosomal RNA (432 nucleotides) under Cephus cinctus (wheat stem sawfly). RNAcentral's name for it is "partial 16S ribosomal RNA". Lineage: Eukaryota; Metazoa; Arthropoda; Insecta; Hymenoptera; Cephidae. The record is from RNAcentral.